This 72-nucleotide transfer RNA is filed under the name Cordylochernes scorpioides. Its description in RNAcentral is "tRNA-OTHER". It matches the Rfam family "tRNA". From Rfam's summary of the family: Transfer RNA (tRNA) molecules are approximately 80 nucleotides in length. Their secondary structure includes four short double-helical elements and three loops (D, anti-codon, and T loops). Lineage: Eukaryota; Metazoa; Arthropoda; Arachnida; Pseudoscorpiones; Chernetidae. The record is from RNAcentral.
UCCAGGGUAGCCUAGUGGACAUGGCAUCUGCCCGGUAAUGGAACACUGUGGGUUCGAUUCCCAUCCCUGGAC